AGUCUACCUCACUCACCCCCGUUUCAAAGUCUAGAGUGAGUAUAUCUGAUUGUCAGAACUUGGGCUGUAUGGCCAUGACCUAGUUGCAGAGGAGACUAGAAAGGAACACAUUUUGUCUGAGUAGAGUGUGCCAGGAGAAAGCAAAUGAAAUACACUUGCCACCAAGAUGUCUGGGUUCAGAUGGAUUUGAGGAAAAGCCACCACUGCCUCUCCCCACUCCUCAGGUCUGGACCUGUAUCAGGUGUCAUCUGCAAAAGGAAAAUGUAUUCUAUUCUUGGAGUGAAGCCUUGGGAGUGCUCCUUGAUACCCUGCGGACCUGGCCCUAACUUCCCUCCAGUCUUACAUCACCUCUCCUGUGCUCAGCUCCAACAGGACUCUGCUGGCUGCCAGGGCAUCCCUGUCCUCAAGAAGCUUCCAUCCAUUAGAGGCCAGAAUCCAGAUAAGAAUCCAGCUUAUUAUAGUACAAAGUGUUAGGUGAGGGGGACCAGUUGAGGAAAUAAUUUAAUCUGUAGUAAAAUACCAUUGAUUGGGUGGUUUAAACAAAGGGAAUUUGUUUUCUAUCUGUUCUGGAAG
This is a long non-coding RNA of Panthera uncia (snow leopard), 573 nucleotides long. RefSeq lists it as uncharacterized. The transcript is spliced from 5 exons. Lineage: Eukaryota; Metazoa; Chordata; Mammalia; Carnivora; Felidae. The record is from RefSeq and is a predicted model, not a curated record.